This 261-nucleotide ribosomal RNA is filed under the name uncultured prokaryote. RNAcentral describes it as "partial 16S ribosomal RNA". It matches the Rfam family "Bacterial small subunit ribosomal RNA", at positions 524 to 784 of the family's 1533-position model. The record is from RNAcentral.
UACGUAGGUGGCAAGCGUUGUCCGGACUUAUUGGGCGUAAAGGGAGCGCAGGCGGUGACUUAAGUCUGAUGUGAAAGCCCACGGCUCAACCGUGGAAGGUCAUUGGAAACUGGGGAACUUGAGUGCGGAAGAGGAGAGUGGAAUUCCAUGUGUAGCGGUGAAAUGCGUAGAUAUAUGGAGGAACACCAGUGGCGAAGGCGACUCUCUGGUCUGUAACUGACGCUGAGGCUCGAAAGCGUGGGGAGCAAACAGGAUUAGAUA